RNAcentral lists this ribosomal RNA (447 nucleotides) under Triticum aestivum (bread wheat). RNAcentral's name for it is "partial small subunit ribosomal RNA". Lineage: Eukaryota; Viridiplantae; Streptophyta; Magnoliopsida; Poales; Poaceae. The record is from RNAcentral.
AUGGUAGUCCAAUGCUUUUUUGAAGUAUAUAUUGGCACUAUGCUGAAAAGGGACAUGAUAGGAAGUGAAGACUGCCAGUCAUCGCGCCAUAUUCCCGUUUGCUAUCAAACUCUCAAAAAGGAAAAACAACUUUACUCUGUUUUUUUGGAGAACCUUCCUGUAGAGUACCUCGACACAGACAAAUAUGCGAUCAAGGAUAUAUUCGAUGGAUUUUCACUCAAAACUUGGAGGAUAUUUUUUGUAGAUAGUUUGGUGCUCUCAUGGUUAUUUUGUAGUGAUUUUCCUUCCGUUCAUUACUUGGUAACCAUCUACUGCAGCUCAACUAUUGUCCAGUUGCUGACCUUAUGGUGCUUCUUCUGUAACUUUUUAGCUGGCUCUUCUCAUUUCCUGGCGAACUUUUUAGUCUGUACAGUCGAAUCGUUGGAAGUUGUUUUCUACUAUCUAUAG